CUGUCUCAAAAUAUUUCUCCUGGCAAUUGUGCCAAUUGUUUUGCAGGAUAAAGACUUCGAGAACUACGUGUUCCUUACGGUAUCUAAGCCUCUGUCAUACUGAACAGUCCCAGGAUUGGGAGUGGCUUGCUUGGACCUUGGCUGCAUCAUCCAGAGAUGGAAAUCUCCAGUGUGAAACAGCUGAUGUCUUGAAGUGUCUGGUGAAUGAAACACGAAGGCUUCUGACGCAGUUACGGUGUUACACCAGUUGUUUCRUCUGUCUACUUCCAGCUCUGCCUACGUGAAGGAGGCCUUCUUGGUAUCUGGAAGCGACCGUCUACUCAUCUGCCCCUGCUCCGUGCAUCUCGCAGACCUGGAGAAGGGAAGGUCAGGACGCUUUGUUGGUAUCUGCCUGAAGAUCAUGUUUUUCUCCAGUGUAUCUGUGGGAAUGUUCAGCAUGAUCGCGAACGGAGGAGGCUGUCUCUCAGCAAGGGUAUCCUCCUUGAGACGCUUCAUCUAGGAUUUUAAGCAGCAUGGUGCAGCACCCUGGUUUGAGGAAAAUAUCUGCUUUAAUUAUUAGGUAGGUAGUAAUAUUUCGGAAUAAAACAAACUUCAAAUUUAACUACRUAAGUAAC
This 614-nucleotide long non-coding RNA is filed under the name Dromaius novaehollandiae (emu). RNAcentral's name for it is "lncRNA (ENSDNVG00000003747.1)". The record is from RNAcentral. Lineage: Eukaryota; Metazoa; Chordata; Aves; Casuariiformes; Dromaiidae.